RNAcentral lists this ribosomal RNA (331 nucleotides) under uncultured eukaryote. RNAcentral describes it as "partial 18S ribosomal RNA". It matches the Rfam family "Eukaryotic small subunit ribosomal RNA", at positions 1470 to 1796 of the family's 1831-position model. The record is from RNAcentral.
CCCUUAGAUGUUCUGGGCCGCACGCGCGCUACACUGUUCGACGCAGCGAGUCUUAACCUUGACCGAAAGGUUUGGGUAAUCUUCAGCAAAGUCGAACGUGAUGGGGAUCGAUCAUUGCAAUUAUUGAUCGUGAACGAGGAAUUCCUAGUAAGUGCAAGUCAUCAGCUUGCGCUGAUUACGUCCCUGUCCUUUGUACACACCGCCCGUCGCUACUACCGAUUGAAUGGUUUAGUGAGAUCUCUGGAUUGACGCUGGCUAGGGGGCGACCCUUGGCCAGACUGUUGAGAAACUGCUCAAACUUGAUCAUUUAGAGGAAGUAAAAGUCGUAACA